CAGCCGCCGCGGUAAUACGAAGGGGGCUAGCGUUGUUCGGAUUUACUGGGCGUAAAGGGCGCGUAGGCGGACUGAUAAGUCAGGGGUGAAAUCCCAAGGCUCAACCUUGGAACUGCCUUUGAUACUGUUUGUCUUGAGUUCGAGAGAGGUAAGUGGAACUGCGAGUGCAGAGGUGAAAUUCGUAGAUAUUCGCAAGAACACCAGUGGCGAAGGCGGCUUACUGGCUCGAAACUGACGCUGAGGCGCGAAAGCGCGGGGAGCAAACAGGAUUAGAUACCCGAGUAGUCCCUGUCUCUUAUAA
This 301-nucleotide ribosomal RNA is filed under the name uncultured bacterium. Its description in RNAcentral is "partial 16S ribosomal RNA". It matches the Rfam family "Bacterial small subunit ribosomal RNA", at positions 509 to 809 of the family's 1533-position model. The record is from RNAcentral.